UGAGGAAUAUUGGUCAAUGGACGAGAGUCUGAACCAGCCAAGUAGCGUGAAGGAUGACUGCCCUAUGGGUUGUAAACUUCUUUUAUAUGGGAAUAAAGUGAUCCACGUGUGGAUUUUUGUAUGUACCAUAUGAAUAAGGAUCGGCUAACUCCGUGCCAGCAGCCGCGGUAAUACGGAGGAUCCGAGCGUUAUCCGGAUUUAUUGGGUUUAAAGGGAGCGUAGGUGGACAGUUAAGUCAGUUGUGAAAGUUUGCGGCUCAACCGUAAAAUUGCAGUUGAUACUGGCUGUCUUGAGUACAGUAGAGGUGGGCGGAAUUCGUGGUGUAGCGGUGAAAUGCUUAGAUAUCACGAAGAACUCCGAUUGCGAAGGCAGCUCACUGGACUGCAACUGACACUGAUGCUCGAAAGUGUGGGUAUCAAACAGGAUUAGAUACCCUGGUAGUCCACACAGUAAACGAUGAAUACUCGCUGUUUGCGAUAUACAGUAAGCGGCCAAGCGAAAGCAUUAAGUAUUCCACCUGGGGAGUACGCCGGCAACGGUGAAACUCAAAGGAAUUGACGGGGGCCCGCACAAGCGGAGGAACAUGUGGUUUAAUUCGAUGAUACGCGAGGAACCUUACCCGGCCUUAAAUUGCAUUUGAAUAAUCAAGAAAUUGGUUAGUCGUAAGACAAAUGUGAAGGUGCUGCAUGGUUGUCGUCAGCUCGUGCCGUGAGGUGUCGGCUUAAGUGCCAUAACGAGCGCAACCCUUAUCUUCAGUUACUAACAGGUCAUGCUGAGGACUCUGGAGAGACUGCCGUCGUAAGAUGUGAGGAAGGUGGGGAUGACGUCAAAUCAGCACGGCCCUUACGUCCGGGGCUACACACGUGUUACAAUGGGGGGUACAGAAGGCCGCUACCUGGUGACAGGAUGCUAAUCCCAAAAGCCUCUCUCAGUUCGGAUCGAAGUCUGCAACCCGACUUCGUGAAGCUGGAUUCGCUAGUAAUCGCGCAUCAGCCAUGGCGCGGUGAAUACGUUCCC
This 1017-nucleotide ribosomal RNA is filed under the name uncultured bacterium. RNAcentral describes it as "bacterial SSU rRNA". It matches the Rfam family "Bacterial small subunit ribosomal RNA", at positions 355 to 1375 of the family's 1533-position model. The record is from RNAcentral.